GACGGAGGGCGCAAGCGUUGUUCGGAAUUAUUGGGCGUAAAGAGCUCGUAGGCGGUUUGUCACGUCUGCUGUGAAAACUGGAGGCUCAACCUCCAGCCUGCAGUGGGUACGGGCAGACUAGAGUGCGGUAGGGGAGAUUGGAAUUCCUGGUGUAGCGGUGGAAUGCGCAGAUAUCAGGAGGAACACCGAUGGCGAAGGCAGAUCUCUGGGCCGUAACUGACGCUGAGGAGCGAAAGCAUGGGGAGCGAACAGG
Molecule: ribosomal RNA, 253 nt
Filed under: uncultured bacterium
Lineage: Bacteria
Description: partial 16S ribosomal RNA
Rfam family: Bacterial small subunit ribosomal RNA
Source: RNAcentral